UGCGAGUCGCACGUCUUUGACGUGGCAAACUGCUCAGUAACACGUGGCCAAACUACCCUGUGGACACGGAUAACCUCGGGAAACUGAGACUAAUCCGCGAUAGUGCUCCCAUGCUGGAAGGCAGGGAGCACGAAAUGCUCCGGCGCCACAGGAUGUGGCUGCGGCCGAUUAGGUAGACGGUGGGGUAACGGCCCACCGUGCCGAUAAUCGGUACGGGUCAUGAGAGUGAGAGCCCGGAGACGGACUCUGAGACACGAGUCCGGGCCCUACGGGGCGCAGCAGGCGCGAAACCUUUACACUGCACGACAGUGCGAUAAGGGGAUUCCGAGUGCGGGGGCAUACAGUCCUCGCUUUUCUGUACCGUAGGGUGGUACAGGAAUAAGGGCUGGGCAAGACCGGUGCCAGCCGCCGCGGUAAUACCGGCAGCCCAAGUGAUGGCCGAUCUUAUUGGGCCUAAAGCGUCCGUAGCUGGCUGGACAGGUCCAUUGGGAAAUCCACCUGCUCAACAGGUGGGCGUCCAGUGGAAACCGUUCAGCUUGGGACCGGGAGACCUGAGGGGUACGUCCAGGGUAGGAGUGAAAUCCUGUAAUCCUGGACGGACCAUCGGUGGCGAAAGCGCCUCAGGAGAACGGAUCCGACAGUGAGGGACGAAAGCUGGGGUCUCGAACCGGAUUAGAUACCCGGGUAGUCCCAGCCGUAAACGAUGCUCGCUAGGUGUGACGUAGGCUACGAGCCUGCGUUGUGCCGUAGGGAAGCCGUAAAGCGAGCCGCCUGGGAAGUACGUCCGCAAGGAUGAAACUUAAAGGAAUUGGCGGGGGAGCACUACAACCGGAGGAGCCUGCGGUUUAAUUGGAUUCAACGCCGGAA
This 867-nucleotide ribosomal RNA is filed under the name uncultured archaeon. RNAcentral's name for it is "bacterial SSU rRNA". It matches the Rfam family "Archaeal small subunit ribosomal RNA", at positions 52 to 923 of the family's 1478-position model. The record is from RNAcentral.